This 1023-nucleotide ribosomal RNA is filed under the name Pleurocordyceps sinensis. Its description in RNAcentral is "SSU rRNA". It matches the Rfam family "Eukaryotic small subunit ribosomal RNA", at positions 71 to 1105 of the family's 1831-position model. The record is from RNAcentral. Lineage: Eukaryota; Fungi; Ascomycota; Sordariomycetes; Hypocreales; Polycephalomycetaceae.
CAAUUAUACGGCGAAACUGCGAAUGGCUCAUUAUAUAAGUUAUCGUUUAUUUGAUAGCACUUUACUACUUGGAUAACCGUGGUAAUUCUAGAGCUAAUACAUGCUAAAAAUCCCGACUUCGGAAGGGAUGUAUUUAUUAGAUUAAAAGCCAAUGCCCUCUGGGCUCUCUGGUGAAUCAUGAUAACUGCUCGAAUCGCAGGGCCUCGUGCCGGCGAUGGUUCAUUCAAAUUUCUUCCCUAUCAACUUUCGAUGUUUGGGUAUUGGCCAAACAUGGUUACAACGGGUAACGGAGGGUUAGGGCUCGACCCCGGAGAAGGAGCCUGAGAAACGGCUACUACAUCCAAGGAAGGCAGCAGGCGCGCAAAUUACCCAAUCCCGACACGGGGAGGUAGUGACAAUAAAUACUGAUACAGGGCUCUUUCGGGUCUUGUAAUUGGAAUGAGUACAAUUUAAAUCCCUUAACAAGGAACAAUUGGAGGGCAAGUCUGGUGCCAGCAGCCGCGGUAAUUCCAGCUCCAAUAGCGUAUAUUAAAGUUGUUGUGGUUAAAAAGCUCGUAGUUGACCCUUGGGCCUGGCUGGCCGGUCCGCCUCACCGCGUGUACUGGUCCGGCCGGGCCUUUCCCUCUGUGGAACCCCAUGCCCUUCACUGGGCGUGGCGGGGAAACAGGACUUUUACUUUGAAAAAAUUAGAGUGCUCCAGGCAGGCCUAUGCUCGAAUACAUUAGCAUGGAAUAAUAGAAUAGGACGUGCGGUUCUAUUUUGUUGGUUUCUAGGACCGCCGUAAUGAUUAAUAGGGACAGUCGGGGGCAUCAGUAUUCAAUUGUCAGAGGUGAAAUUCUUGGAUCUAUUGAAGACUAACUACUGCGAAAGCAUUUGCCAAGGAUGUUUUCAUUAAUCAAGAACGAAAGUUAGGGGAUCGAAGACGAUCAGAUACCGUCGUAGUCCUGACCGUAAACUAUGCCGACUAGGGAUCGGACGAUGUUAUUUUUUGACUCGUUCGGCACCUUACGAGAAAUCAAAGUG